UACGGGGGGAGCAAGCGUUGUUCGGAUUUACUGGGCGUAAAGGGCGCGUAGGCGGUCAGCACAAGUCAGUUGUGAAAUCUCCGGGCUUAACCCGGAAAGGUCAACUGAUACUGUGCGACUAGAGUGCGGAAGGGGCAACUGGGAUUCCCGGUGUAGCGGUGAAAUGCGUAGAGCUCGGGAAGAACAUCGGUGGCGAAAGCGCUCUACUGGACGACAACUGACACUCAGGGACGAAAGCUAGGGGAGCGAAUGGG
RNAcentral lists this ribosomal RNA (254 nucleotides) under uncultured bacterium. RNAcentral describes it as "partial 16S ribosomal RNA". It matches the Rfam family "Bacterial small subunit ribosomal RNA", at positions 524 to 776 of the family's 1533-position model. The record is from RNAcentral.